UAAAUAGAUAUAUCCAAGCCAGAGCUACAGAUAACUUGUUGGGUCAUUGAGUUGUGUACUCACUUGUGUUUAUCUCAACUGGGUAUCCAAAUGUUUCUUUGAGUAACCAAAUAAAUUGUCUUCACCUCACUCAAACUCAAUUGGGUAUUUUGCCAUUUUCCAUAA
Haliotis rubra (blacklip abalone) is the source of this 165-nucleotide long non-coding RNA. RefSeq lists it as uncharacterized. The record is from RefSeq and is a predicted model, not a curated record. NCBI's taxonomy places the organism in Eukaryota, Metazoa, Mollusca, Gastropoda, Lepetellida, Haliotidae. The transcript is spliced from 3 exons.